RNAcentral lists this ribosomal RNA (596 nucleotides) under Syllis punctulata. RNAcentral's name for it is "SSU rRNA". It matches the Rfam family "Eukaryotic small subunit ribosomal RNA", at positions 1200 to 1803 of the family's 1831-position model. The record is from RNAcentral. Lineage: Eukaryota; Metazoa; Annelida; Polychaeta; Phyllodocida; Syllidae.
AUCACACGGGGAAACUCACCCGGCCCGGACACCGUGAGGAUUGACAGAUUGAGAGCUCUUUCUUGAUUCGGUGGGUGGUGGUGCAUGGCCGUUCUUAGUUGGUGGAGCGAUUUGUCUGGUUAAUUCCGAUAACGAACGAGACUCUGGCCUGCUAAAUAGUCCGCCCCCCGCCAAUGGAGGGGCGCCCGACUUCUUAGAGGGACCAGCGGCGUUUCAGCCGCACGAGAUUGAGCGAUAACAGGUCUGUGAUGCCCUUAGAUGUUCGGGGCCGCACGCGCGCUACACUGAAAGAGGCAGAGGGUCGAGUCCUGGUCUGGCGAGGCUGGGCAACCCGUGCACAAACUCUAUCGUGCUAGGGACUGGGGCUUGCAAUUCUUCCCCACCAACGAGGAAUUCCCAGUAAGCGCGAGUCAUCAGCUCGUGUUGAUUACGUCCCUGCCCUUUGUACACACCGCCCGUCGCUACUACCGAUUGAAUGGUUUAGUGAGGCCCUCGGACGGGCCCCGGGCCGGCCCUCGCGGCCGGCUGUCUUGGUGCUGCCUGAAAGAGCGUCGAACUUGAUCAUUUAGAGGAAGUAAAAGUCGUAACAAGGUUUC